AAGAGCGAAACAGAGAGAGCGUAAUGGUUCGUCGACGGCGAGUAUUGUGUUCGUCGGCGAGUAUUGUCUUCGUCGGCGGCGAAGAAGUUCUCUUUCGAACGCGAGAGAGAAAUUUUUUUAUUUUUUUUUUCGAUUGUAAACAGUGAUGAGAAAUAAACUGUUCCGUUUCCUUUUUGAUAAUUAAUGAAAGAAUAAAUGUCGAUGAUGAUGUGGCAAUUUCGGGUAUGACGUGGCAUUUCCGGAUCUGAUGUGGCAAUUUUAAGUGAAAACAGACAAAGGGUGUUUAUUGUAAUUACAC
Molecule: long non-coding RNA, 298 nt
Filed under: Capsella rubella
Lineage: Eukaryota; Viridiplantae; Streptophyta; Magnoliopsida; Brassicales; Brassicaceae
Description: long non-coding RNA (CRUB_LNC000551)
Source: RNAcentral